RNAcentral lists this ribosomal RNA (664 nucleotides) under Salmonella enterica. RNAcentral's name for it is "partial 23S ribosomal RNA". It matches the Rfam family "Bacterial large subunit ribosomal RNA", at positions 2270 to 2925 of the family's 2925-position model. The record is from RNAcentral. Lineage: Bacteria; Pseudomonadati; Pseudomonadota; Gammaproteobacteria; Enterobacterales; Enterobacteriaceae.
UUGACUGGGGCGGUCUCCUCCUAAAGAGUAACGGAGGAGCACGAAGGUUGGCUAAUCCUGGUCGGACAUCAGGAGGUUAGUGCAAUGGCAUAAGCCAGCUUGACUGCGAGCGUGACGGCGCGAGCAGGUGCGAAAGCAGGUCAUAGUGAUCCGGUGGUUCUGAAUGGAAGGGCCAUCGCUCAACGGAUAAAAGGUACUCCGGGGAUAACAGGCUGAUACCGCCCAAGAGUUCAUAUCGACGGCGGUGUUUGGCACCUCGAUGUCGGCUCAUCACAUCCUGGGGCUGAAGUAGGUCCCAAGGGUAUGGCUGUUCGCCAUUUAAAGUGGUACGCGAGCUGGGUUUAGAACGUCGUGAGACAGUUCGGUCCCUAUCUGCCGUGGGCGCUGGAGAACUGAGGGGGGCUGCUCCUAGUACGAGAGGACCGGAGUGGACGCAUCACUGGUGUUCGGGUUGUCAUGCCAAUGGCACUGCCCGGUAGCUAAAUGCGGAAGAGAUAAGUGCUGAAAGCAUCUAAGCACGAAACUUGCCCCGAGAUGAGUUCUCCCUGAGACUUUAGGUCUCCUGAAGGAACGUUGAAGACGACGACGUUGAUAGGCCGGGUGUGUAAGCGCAGCGAUGCGUUGAGCUAACCGGUACUAAUGAACCGUGAGGCUUAACCUUACA